RNAcentral lists this transfer RNA (78 nucleotides) under bacterium. Its description in RNAcentral is "tRNA-Asp". It matches the Rfam family "tRNA". Rfam says of the family: Transfer RNA (tRNA) molecules are approximately 80 nucleotides in length. The record is from RNAcentral.
GGGGGCGUAGUUCAGCCUGGUUAGAACGCCUGCCUGUCGAGCAGGAGGUCGCGAGUUCGAAUCUCGUCGCUCCCGCCC